RNAcentral lists this transfer RNA (73 nucleotides) under Trichonephila clavata. Its description in RNAcentral is "tRNA-Arg". The stretch from base 8 to 64 matches the Rfam family "tRNA", at positions 8 to 63 of the family's 71-position model. From Rfam's summary of the family: Transfer RNA (tRNA) molecules are approximately 80 nucleotides in length. Their secondary structure includes four short double-helical elements and three loops (D, anti-codon, and T loops). Further hydrogen bonds mediate the characteristic L-shaped molecular structure. tRNAs have two regions of fundamental functional importance: the anti-codon, which is responsible for specific mRNA codon recognition, and the 3' end, to which the tRNAs corresponding amino acid is attached (by aminoacyl-tRNA synthetases). tRNAs cope with the degeneracy of the genetic code in two manners: having more than one tRNA (with a specific anti-codon) for a particular amino acid; and 'wobble' base-pairing, i.e. permitting non-standard base-pairing at the 3rd anti-codon position. Lineage: Eukaryota; Metazoa; Arthropoda; Arachnida; Araneae; Nephilidae. The record is from RNAcentral.
GUCCCUUUAGCGCAAUGGUAGCGCGUUGGAUUUCUAAUCCAAAGGUCGUGGGUUUGAAUCCCACCUAGAAUCA